This 251-nucleotide ribosomal RNA is filed under the name uncultured prokaryote. Its description in RNAcentral is "partial 16S rRNA". It matches the Rfam family "Bacterial small subunit ribosomal RNA", at positions 525 to 775 of the family's 1533-position model. The record is from RNAcentral.
ACGUAAGUGGCGAGCGUUGUUCGGAUUUAUUGGGCGUAAAGGGUGCGUAGGUGGAUUGCUAAGUUGGAUGUGCAAAUUCGGAACUCAAUUUCGAACCUGCGUCCAAAACUGGUUUUCUUGAGGUGGGCAGAGGUUAGCGGAAUUUCUGGUGUAGGAGUGAAAUCUAUAGAUAUCAGAAAGAACACCGAUGGCGAAGGCAGCUAACUGGGCUUUACCUGACACUGAAGCACGAAAGCUAGGGGAGCGAACGG